UUUACCAUUGUUUGGAAUCAAUUCGAUGAUCCAAUUCAUCCAAAUUGUAAAGCUUGUUAAUUAAGAUAAUUAUGGCAAAUAACAAGUUGAUCGAGGUUCUACUGCUAUUUAAUCGAAGAAGAUAUGUCUCGAAAAAAUUUGAAAAAAAGAAGGCCGGGUACAUUUGAUUACAACCUUAUUUGUCUUUUUCCUCACUUUUGGUCCUAAUCCGUUAUAACCGUUGCAAAUCCAAGUCGACCUUCGCCAAUCAGAGUUCCGAUCAUUGAGUCAACCGUUGCAAAGCUAAUCCGCGACUCGGGCGGCGAUCGGAGCUGCUGAACAUGACCACACUGCCAAACCCGUUCUCUUUGUAGAGAGACCCACAUCUGAAGCUCAGGAAUGUAAGCAACAAUCUCAGUGAAGCAGAGGAAGAAAAGGUAUACCAUUUAGUAUGGCACAAUGCUGCCCCUCUUAGGGUGCAAUGUUUUACUUGGAUGGCUCAGCUGGGACAGUUAAAAACUGCUGACUUCUUUCUAAGAUUGGGAAUCAUUCAAGAGGAUGAAGAGACAAUUUGUGAAUUCUGUGGAGAAGAAUUGGAAACUCCUAAUGACAUCCUACUGCUGUGUAAAUAUGUGUGGCAGGUAUGGUCAUCCAUCAUCAAUUGGUGGGGAGCUAAAUGGGUAACUUCACCAUCAGUCCCAUUUUUGCUGAAGUGGUGGCUUGGAUGGAAGCUAUCUCCAAACACUUAUCCGGAAUUGCAUACCUCUUGCAACCAUGUGGUCAAUCUGGAAAAUGCGAAAUGAGUGGCUCUUUCAGAACAUAGAACCGAAUUGGAUUGAGGUGGUGGAGCUCAUCAAAAUAUGAAUUGCCUUUUGGGUAAAAGCAAAAUGGGUGGAUUGUGUUUACUCUAUCAAUGAUUUCUCUUUCAGGAUGGGGAGCAUACUGGAUGCUAUCUAAUUAUCUCUUGAUCUAGCUGUGCGUCUGUUGUGAUUUUUGGGGCGGAUUGUGAGUCUUUGUGGGCUUGAAAUAAAUGAGUCUGCCUUUUGGUUUUGGUUUAGUGGGUUCUUCUUGGAUAUGAGUCUUGAUCUUUGGUCUUUUGGACUUAAUCUUUGUGGGUUUGGGCUUGGGUGAGUCUGCAUUAUGGGUGAGUCUGGUGCAUCUCUAGUUUUUGGGUCUGCUGUUUUCUGUUUAUCUCUAAAUUGUGUCUGCAGAUUUUUGUUUGGUCUGUUUGUUUCUACGUUGUUGAUCUCAUGGUGGUUUCCUAAAGUGUAUGAUGGUUGGGUCUGUUUAUUUUUCCAUUUGGGUCAGGUGUGCCAAUUCUAAGUACUACUUUGGGGAGUUUUUUCAGGUUUGUCAUUAGUCUCUAUUGUCAUUUGCCAUCCCUGCCUAUGCUUGGAUAUAAUGCAUAUGAUGGGGCUACCCUCUCUUUGAUGCUUGCUCUCUGGAGGAUUCUCUGCAAAUCCCGCCUAUGUUGCAUAUGAUGGGGCUUCCCCUGCCUUUGAUGCUUCAUUUGGUGGCUUGAAGAUGCUACUUUAGUCUGCUGGAUCCAAUCAAUUGUGGAUGCUUAUGAAGAAUUUUUUCUGCAAAUGCUGCUGCUGCAAUAUGGUGCCAGUCCAAUCUACUUCAGCUGCUAGUAUGGUCAAUCAAUCUACUUUUGGGAUGCAAACUGAAGGUACGGUACCUACAAUGACUUUGUGUCUAUUGGAACUAAUCAAACCUUGAAUCUGGGCAUUUUCAAGAUCAAUGUUGGUGUUCUUGUAUCUACUGUGGGGCUGCUGUUGGUUUUUUUUUUUGGGUUUAAAAUGGGUAAGCCAACUAAAGCUAAUCUGGUAUGCUUUGGAAUAAGGGUGAAUGCAAUAAUGCUACUGCUGUAGUAUUUCUGGAUUAGAAGGUGCUAUUUUUAGGGGAAGGCUCUUUAGUUUGAAACUCUGUAAGGCUAUUGCUGCUGUUGUUUUGGACCUUUGCUCAUGUUUGAGCUUUUCUUUCCUUUUGCUUGAUUUCAGUUGGUAUAAUGCGAGCUUAAAAUC
Rhododendron vialii is the source of this 2006-nucleotide long non-coding RNA. RefSeq lists it as uncharacterized. The record is from RefSeq and is a predicted model, not a curated record. Lineage: Eukaryota; Viridiplantae; Streptophyta; Magnoliopsida; Ericales; Ericaceae. The transcript is spliced from 2 exons.